RNAcentral lists this ribosomal RNA (485 nucleotides) under uncultured bacterium. RNAcentral's name for it is "partial 16S ribosomal RNA". It matches the Rfam family "Bacterial small subunit ribosomal RNA", at positions 899 to 1397 of the family's 1533-position model. The record is from RNAcentral.
ACUCAAAUGAAUUGACGGGGAUCCACACAAGCGGUGGAGCAUGUGGUUUAAUUCGACACUAAGCGAAGAACCUCACCAGGACUUGACAUCCUAAGAACACCCUGGAAACAGGGUGGUGCCCGCAAGGGAGCUUAGUGACAGGUGCUGCAUGGUCGUCGUCAGCUCGUGUCGUGAGAUGUCGGGUUAAGUCCUCCAACGAGCGCAACCCUCGCUGUAUGUUGUAUUUCUCAUACAGGACUGCCCUCGCAAGAGGGAGGAAGGCGGGGAUGACGUCAGAUCAGCAUGGCUCUUACGUCCUGGGCCACACACGUGCUACAAUGGCCGGUACAAUGGGAAGCAAAGGAGUAAUCCGGAGCCAAUCCCCAAAGCCGGUCUCAGUUCGGAUUGAGGGCUGCAACUCGCCCUCAUGAAGUUGGAAUCGCUAGUAACCGUGUAUCAGCUAUGGCACGGUGAAUAUGUUCCUGGAUCUUGCACACACCGCCCGU